This 386-nucleotide ribosomal RNA is filed under the name marine copepod environmental sample. Its description in RNAcentral is "SSU rRNA". It matches the Rfam family "Eukaryotic small subunit ribosomal RNA", at positions 587 to 972 of the family's 1831-position model. The record is from RNAcentral. Lineage: Eukaryota; Metazoa; Arthropoda; Copepoda.
AGCUCCAAUAGCGUAUAUUAAAGUUGUUGUGGUUAAAAAGCUUGUAGUUGGAUCUCAACAGCGUGGUGGCGGUCAACAUGCUUGCCGUUACUGCUGUCUUGCACUGUGCUUUUUGCUGGAGGCUGGCAGGUUGCCUUAAUCAGGUGUCUGUUGUCACCAGCAGGUUUACUUUGAAAAAAUUAGAGUGCUCAAAGCAGGCUGUUACGCCUGAAUAUUUGUGCAUGGAAUAAUAGAAUAGGACAUUGAUCCUAUUUUGUUGGUUUUCGGGACUCGACAUAAUGAUUAAUAGGGACAGUUGGGGGCAUUUGAAUUCAAACAACAGAGGAGAAAUUCUUGGACCAUUUGAAGACAAACUACUGCGAAAGCAUUUGCCAAGAAUGUUUUCA